This 152-nucleotide ribosomal RNA is filed under the name uncultured bacterium. RNAcentral's name for it is "partial 16S ribosomal RNA". It matches the Rfam family "Bacterial small subunit ribosomal RNA", at positions 366 to 509 of the family's 1533-position model. The record is from RNAcentral.
CCACAAUGGAACGAAAGUCUGAUGGAGCAACGCCGCGUGAGUGAAGAAGGGUUUCGGCUCGUAAAGCUCUGUUGGUAGUGAAGAAAGAUAGAGGUAGUAACUGGCCUUUAUUUGACGGUAAUUACUUAGAAAGUCACGGCUAACUACGUGCC